Molecule: unclassified non-coding RNA, 245 nt
Filed under: fungal sp.
Lineage: Eukaryota; Fungi
Description: partial internal transcribed spacer region
Rfam family: Eukaryotic small subunit ribosomal RNA (bases 1-46)
Source: RNAcentral
AAGUCGUAACAAGGUUUCCGUAGGUGAACCUGUGGAAGGAUCAUUACAAAUCCAUCCACGUCUCAUAUCCUGAGACCACGUUGAAAUGUUCCCCAGAGCCUCUGCCCUCUGGGCCAGCUUCGGCCGGCCCCUUGGAUCAGCAUGCUCUGGGCUGUUAAACUAGUCAUCUCUGUUGCUCAAAUGUAUCUUGAUUUUCAAUCAAACGAAAACUUGUACAACUUAUAACAAUGGAUCUCUAGGCUCUU